This 408-nucleotide long non-coding RNA is filed under the name Theobroma cacao (cacao). RNAcentral's name for it is "long non-coding RNA (TCAC_LNC001481)". The record is from RNAcentral. Lineage: Eukaryota; Viridiplantae; Streptophyta; Magnoliopsida; Malvales; Malvaceae.
UGGUGCUUGGGCCGGUGCAGGAGAUACUCGUGGUGGUGAUGCUGGUGGUGGUGGCACUGCUGGUGGUUGCACUGGAGCUGUGGUUGGAGGAGUUUGGGGUGGUUGUGGUGGUGGAAUUUGAGGAGGUGGGACUGUUGGGCUUGUAGCUGGUGCAACUUUUGGAGCUGGGGUUGUUACAGGUGGGGGCGUGGUUGCAGGUGGCUGUGCUGGUGCUGUUGGUGUGGUAGAAGGUGGGGGUGUUGUGGUUGGUGGAGGUGUUGCAGUUGAAGGCGGAGGUGUUGCUGUUGGAGGUGGUGGUGAAGUUGAAGGUGGAGUUAUGGUGGUUGGUGUAGUGGAAGGUGAGGCAGCCGGUCCCUGUGCAUUUGUAAUGGCUAGUUGAAAGCUGAGACAAGUCAAAAUGAGUGCCCA